This 492-nucleotide ribosomal RNA is filed under the name uncultured bacterium. Its description in RNAcentral is "partial 16S ribosomal RNA". It matches the Rfam family "Bacterial small subunit ribosomal RNA", at positions 29 to 507 of the family's 1533-position model. The record is from RNAcentral.
AGUGAACGCUGGCGGUAGGCCUAACACAUGCAAGUCGAACGGCAGCACAGUAAGAGCUUGCCCUUACGGGUGGCGAGUGGCGGACGGGUGAGGAAUACAUCGGAAUCUACUUUUUCGUGGGGGAUAACGUAGGGAAACUUACGCUAAUACCGCAUACGACCUACGGGUGAAAGCAGGGGAUCUUCGGACCUUGCGCGACUGAAUGAGCCGAUGUCGGAUUAGCUAGUUGGCGGGGUAAAGGCCCACCAAGGCGACGAUCCGUAGCUGGUCUGAGAGGAUGAUCAGCCACACUGGAACUGAGACACGGUCCAGACUCCUACGGGAGGCAGCAGUGGGGAAUAUUGGACAAUGGGCGCAAGCCUGAUCCAGCCAUACCGCGUGAGUGAAGAAGGCCUUCGGGUUGUAAAGCCCUUUUGUUGGGAAAGAAAAGCAGCAGGAUAAUACCCCGCUGUUCUGACGGUACCUAAAGAAUAAGCACCGGCUAACUUCGUG